Gorilla gorilla gorilla (western lowland gorilla) is the source of this 11173-nucleotide long non-coding RNA. RefSeq lists it as uncharacterized. The record is from RefSeq and is a predicted model, not a curated record. Lineage: Eukaryota; Metazoa; Chordata; Mammalia; Primates; Hominidae. The transcript has 5 exons.
AUUUUUAGUGGAGAUGGGGUUUCUCCUUGUUGGCCAGGCUGGUCUCAAACUGCUGACCUCAGGUGAUCCACCUGCCUCAGCCUCCCGAAGUGCUGGGAUUACAGGCAUGAGCCACCGCGCCGCCCAGACUAGGGUUCAGAAUGUUUUUUGCUUGGCAUCAAAGUGAGUGAGUCUUGGGAAGUUUAUUCCUUAGGUGAUUCCAUCAGGUCAGAAUUGGGUUCAAAUGGAUAAUGUGAUGUGAUGAUGGCAGCUGAAAUUAAAAGCAAGAACUCACUUUGGGGGAAAAAAAAAACAAGAAAAAAAGAGUGACCUUGGUAGCUGCUUAUAUUAGCAUUCUUGAUUAAUGUCUGCUUUAAAAAAAUCACACGGGUAAUGCAGCUAUAAUCAUUGUACCAGUCAUAACCAAUUAGUUAUGUUUAUGUAAUAUGAAACAAUAUGCAGGCAGGGCUGCCUGGAAUCCCACUUUCUUCCACAAAGGGAGUCAAGAUCACAUGGAUUGCCGCUUCUGUCUGUGCCUUGCCUUUGCAGGACACUAUUCUGAUUGCGACCAGGUCUGUUAUGUAAGCACCGCAUUCAGUCUGCUCUGCCAGUGAUUCACAAAGUUACUUCUUUUGUGGACGUGGAAGGGACCUGAAAGAACUGUCCAUAACGGCAUGUUCCCAAUUCAAUAAGCCUCUAUCCUUCUACGCCUCAGAAAAGAAACUGGAUGGCAGACCCAUAACCAGCAAGCCCUAGCUGUUCUGGAGCCCUGUUUUGUUUGGCCUACUCAGUGUUUGUGAUAACUUUCGUUUGGAGCCCAAACUUGAACAAUAGAGACUUCACAUGAAUAGCUGGAUUUUGUUUGUGUGUUUCUUUUUGAAAAAUGCAAGGAAUGGUAGGAAUUGGUUGGAGUUGAAUCAUGGUUGCCCCUUAGAAGGGGCCUGUGCUCCCAGCCCACCCCAGAAUCAAUCCCUUUCAUUCUGUAUUACGUGUGGGCCCUUAGGUGCAGUGGAGUUUAUGGCCUCUGCUUUCCCUUCACUGUCGUUUUCCCUCCACCACCUUGUUGGUGGAAUGAAAGAUUAUAAUGAGCGACAGUUCUGAUCAAAUUGGAAAUAGUUCACUUAUCAUUGUGUCAAUUUUUUGUAAACAGGAACUCAAGAUCCACACAGUUAUAAAUGUCCUUAGAGGCCCAGAAAUGUAUCAAGUACCGGAUAUGGCACGUAGUAGCCGCUUGGCAAGCGUCUAUUGAGUGAAUCUACGAAUAGAACUCUUGAGUGUGUGGGGACUCAGGGUCAUUUGUUUGGCUGGAAGAAGAGACCUUACAGGGCAGUUUGGGAAUAUUAAUGACACUCUUUAAGUACACAAAGAGUUUGGAUGACAGCUAGCAAUUUUUUUUCAUUUCCAUAAAAUACAGGAUUUUAUUUUUAUUUUGUGAUGGGAUACCUUGGCCACGUUAUACCAACACCCUUCUGGGGGACAUUAAACUUUGGUGACCUUAUAAAAUUUCAAUAAAUUUUAUUUUUCUCAUCCAAGCAAAAUGUCCUCUUGGGUUCAGUUGGGUGUGACGCCUGACAGUCUCUCUAACCUGAUACUGUCUAUUUCUCCCAGUGUGGGCUGUGAAACAGGGACCUCUGUGUCUUUGUGCCCCAGAGACAUUUGGUGUUAACCAUGAAUGCUUAUACUGUUAAUAACAUUUAGGUCCUGUCCUACAAGGAAAAAUACAAGUUAUUAAUGCUUCUAUCACAGUGAUUCAGGACUAGGGCUUCACAGAUUGACAGGGUUUGAAUCUUUGUUCUACUAUUUGUUCAUCAUGUGGCCCUGAGCAAGUUAUAUCUCAUUGCUGUGCCUUAAUUUUCUCAUCUGCAAAAUGAGUAUCCCAGUAGUAAGAUCAUAGCAUAGUUAGAACAACGCCUUAAACAUAACCUCCAGUAAAUGACAGCUGCCACUCUGGUGGUAGUAAUGAUAGCAGAAGUGAUAUCUGUCUUAAAUUAUAAAAAUGUGCCACUAAGAACUUUUUUUAAUUUAGUUUUUUGUCUCUUUUCCCCCAGCUUUAUUGAAGUAUAAUUGACAAAUAAAACUGUGUAUAUUUAAGGUAUAGUUUUCAUCAAAUGCAUUUAUUACUUUGAGAAUUGCACAGCCCUUUUGUCACUAGACUGUAAAAAUAUUGGAUACGUUUUCACCCAUUAGUGUAUGAUUGAGUUGGAUUUGGUGAAACAAGAACCCUUCAGGUAUGCAUAGAAGGGGCCCCUUGCUUUCCUGGUUAUGACAGGCAGAGGAGGCCUGUUUGAGGGAAGGUAAUUAUCUUCCUGCAGUAAUUACUUUUCUAUAAAAAUCCAACACUCUCUCACCCCUGAUUACUGAAGGAAAACAAAGCUCUGGUUUCUGUGUGAGCUCCUUGUAGUGAGAGGCCAGCAUUGGAAUGUGGUGUGAUGUCACUGCUGAUUGGCCCCAGGGUUCUGGGUUUCAUCUGUGUUGUUGGAAUACCUCAAUUUAUCUGUUUUCUACAGGGGAUUACAGCACUCUUCAGGGGUUUGGAAAGUUCUGAAAUGAAAACAUACUUCAGGGGUAACACAUGCCUAUACCAAACACUGGCAGUCCUCACAGGGCUAACAGUAUAUGCUAACCUUAUGGAGACUUUAUUUUUUUCUUAACCAUCAAACCACAGGAGUUUUAAGCUGGCUUUAUUACCAUCUCUUCCUCUGACCCACUCCCUUACUUACUUUGGGCAGAAACUUUAUUUUAUUUUUAUUUAUUUAUUUUUUGAAACAGUCUCGUUCUGUCGCCCAGGCUGGAGUGCAGUGGUGCAAUCUCAGCUCACUGCAGCCACUGCCUCCUGGGUUCAAACGAUUCUUGUGCCUCAGCCUCCCGAGUAGCUGGGACCAUAGGCACCCACCACCACACCUGGAUUUUUUUUUUUUUUUUUUUUUGAGAUGGAGUCUUGCUCUGUUGCCCAAGCUGGAGUGCAAUGGUGCAAUCUCCGCUCACUGCAACCUCUGCCUCCCGGGUUCAAGUGAUUCUCCUGCCUCAGCCUCCUGAGUAGCUGGGAUUACAGGCAUGCACCAUCAUGCCUAGCUAAUUUUUGUAUUUUUAGUAGAGACAGGGUUUCACUAUGUUGGCCGGGCUGGUCUCGAACUCCUGACUUGAAGUGAUUUACCCACCUCGGCUUCCCAAAGUGCUGGGAUUACAGGCAUGAGCCACCGUGCCCAGACAGAAACUUGAUUUUAGUAGCAAGAUUACAAAUGUUUAUGUUGGGCCUCUUCUUUCCAGUUACUUAAAAAUGCAUUUCAAGUCUCUACCAAGUAACAGUGAAUUCUAUCAGAGUUGUUUCCCAAAGUGGCUUUUGUUCCCCCAUGUGAUAUGGAUACCACUGAAACAAAAGCCUUUUAUUUUAUUUUUUUUUUAAGUAGAUGCCUUGUAGAUUAUAAGAGGGAAUAGAUAUAGUGUGGCAGUUAAAAGGCAGAAGCAGGGAGGGAAGUCUUCUAGAGUCAGAAUCGAAUGUAUCCCUGCUAAUUAUGCCUGUGACCUUGGCAAGUUCUUACUUCUCAGUUUUGUCCUUUGUAAAUCAGAAGUCAUUUGUGUCCCGCCCUCUAGGUGGUGGGUGGGAUCACUGCUCAGCCCACCCUUAGUAAGCACUCAGCCACUAAUAUGUUACCUUUAUUACUGCUUUACUGUUAUUGUACCUUGCUGUAAACUGAACCUGGAAGAAAAUUCUACUUAUUGCAAUUAUGAGAUGUCAUGUUUUCAAAGGAUUUUCAAAAUACUUUUUUUCUGAUACAAAUAUUUGAUUUAUCUCUCUUUGUGAUUGAAUCUCAUUUCAAAUUUUAUUGACCACCACAACCUCUUUAUUUAAUCAAUAACUACUCAAAGAUGGAGAAAUGCAGUCACCAAUAUGACUUAUGUCACUUAAUUUUAACUACCAGGAGACCAUGAACUGCUUGAGCUGGUCAUUUCAUCAGUUGUCCCUUAUUUACUGAGCACCUACUAUGUGCCAGGCAGGAAUGAGUUCUGGGAAAACAAUGGCAAAUAAGAAAAAAUCCCCUGCCCUCAAAGAGCCUGUGGUUUAAUGGCAACAUUACUUCUUACUCGUGUUUGUGUCCAUCUCACAUUGCAUAGUACCUGGCAUACAGUACUGAUGCUCAAUCAAUGUGGGGUUGUUUUGGGUGAAUUGAGUGCAGCUUAACUGAAAUGGAAGUCCAGUGCUAUUUCUGGAAAUUUUCUUUAAAAAAAUAAGAUUUUUCCAUGAAAAGACCCCCUUGUCUUUAUGUUUUAUUUGUUAACAAUCCCAAUCCAUCUGAUUGGAUGGAAAAAUGAAUCUAGCUGAUUACUGUUUUCUUGCUUUUUAAAGAAGCCCUUUGCUGUGACUCUAUUUAUAUAAAAUUGCAUGUGGUGUUUUGGUAUAUCAAGACAUGUUUAAAAGAAGGUUUUUCCAAAAUAUAAACCAAGGUUGGGACUUGCUCUUGAACUUUACUGUACUUUACAGCAUGAUGAGUUCCUUCUCUAGUGUGCACAAAACUCCUGGUCUGCCCACAAACCAGCAGCCUUCCCUUCUACACCUCCAGAUAAAGAAGAAAGACAGUGGGUGAUGGGAUGGGAAGGAGGUGGCGAGAGGAAGACAUAUUAGGUGCUUGGCUUUGUAUGGAACACUGUAUGUGUUUUUUGUUUUUUUAAAUCACCUCUUACCUUUGAGGUAGAUAGUGUUGAUCACCUGUACAGAUAAGGAACCUAAGGCUCAGAGGUUAAGAAACUUUCUCAAGAACACUCAGUAGAGAGGUAGCAGAGUUAGGAUUUGAGCCCAGGUUUGCCAACCCCAAGCUGCUGUAUAUGGGAACAAGAAUGCACCUCUUCUCUAUCUAAUAGAUAUUCUUGGCUAAGUCUUGCAAGGGUGAAAAUUGUCUUAGUCCAAGCUGCUCUGGGCCAGGUAAGACAGAUCACAGGAAGUGGUAGGUUAAAAUGUGGCCCCUCUUGUGCUACUCCUGUGUUCAGCUCUCCUGUGGUGGGGCACAGCAGCUUGAUAGGAGUCAGCGUGGUCUGGAAUUCCCUCAAGUUUCCAUGGUUUCAGUUCCAGUACACAGAGUGCUACUCUCCCCCUGUAGAAAAUGAGAAACACUCCUCUUCUGAGUCUAUUUCUCAGGAUCUGUUAGAUAAGAUGCAGAAGUUUUGUCUAGGUCUAGUUAGAAAUCUUGCAUCUUUGGUUUUCUUUGUUCAUCAGCUUCUUCAACUUUCAUUGCAUAUGGAAUUCCAGGAUAUCUGUGACAAGGACUCAAGAUGAAAGCAAAUUUUGUACCACUUCCAUGUGUGUGGAAGCUUCUAGGAUGGACCUGGCACUAAGUAAAGAACAGCCUUUAAAAAAUGUUCUACUUCCUUCUGGACUCCAAGAGGUUCUGAUGAGAAAUCCACAAUUAUUCAAAUCAAAUUUCUGGCUUUUGGGCUGGAUUGAGUACAGGCUGGGAGGAAAACAAGAAGAAUGAUAUACUCACCACCAGUUUACUGAGACUUCAAAGCAUUCAUUUGGUCAAGCUUCAUUUGAGUGACAUUUAUUUCAAGCAAUGUAGCAGAAUGAUUCAAUAUGUGGACUACAAAGUCCUUCUGUAAAACUCUCUUCCAUUCCAUCUAUUGACAUAAAAAUUCCCGGCCUAGCUCUGUAUCCACAGAGUUCUAUCAUCUGAAAAUCAAAGAGCCACCUCGAAAGUAAAAUUGUGUACCCCAUGACUGACUACUGUGAUUUUGAAGCAUAGCAUUUAGGAGAUUUCACGGGAAAUUUGAAAUUUUGCUGCUUUUGCUGAUGAAGUCUGUAUGCAGCCCAUGGUGGGCUGAAUUGCAAUAUCUACACUGAAUUCCAAUCAGAUAUGAAAAUGUAGUAAAUUAAUGUGAAUUAGAAUUGCAGUCUCCUGAAUAUCCUUCCCUUCAGAGUCAUGGACUCAUUCAUAAUGAGGAUGUGUGUGUGUUACUUACUUAUCCCAAGGUGUGAGAUUAGCAGAUGACUGCUGGGCAAAUCAGUAAAGCUUUUGUGCACUGUGAAGGCAAGAAUAAACCAGCUAUUUUAACCCAAGCCCAGGCAUUCCCUUCUCUGGAUUCCCUAGCGGAUCCUUCAGCUGAAUCUGAGCCUUAAAAAUAAAGCCACUUUCUAUGCCUCUCUGUGCAUACUGAGAAUCCUGCCAAAGCCUUCUAUGAGGUAUCUGUGAAUUUACCCUGGGAGAAUACCACAGAGUGUCCCUGGCUUCCUGUUCUAAAUGACCCACUCCAAUGACACACUGUAAUAUUACUUAAGGUAGGGAGAAUGAGCUGCCAAAACCCAUUUAUCACUUUGCUGGCCUUGGACUGUGCACAUCCGUCUAAAGUUAAACAAGGGUCAUAGGAAGAGCUUUUCUUCUCUCCUGCCUUGCCAACACAAGUAUCUUGUAUAAAGAUUAAAAUAAAUUAUCUGAUGUUUCACUGCAGGGUUUUCCACCCCUACAAAGUACUGUUCUUUAAAUAUAUGUAGAAGAAUGAAUUGGGGAAGAUAGAUGCUUGAAAUUUUACAAAUAAAUAUUGAAUGUCCAAAGCUAGGAGACAUUGGUUAAAUAAAGUAUGGUUAUUCAUAAAAUGGAAUAUUAUGCUGCCUUUAAAAAUAAGGCUGAAGAAUACUUAAUAAAGUACAAAUAUGGCCAGGAUAUUCUAUUAUAUGGAUAAUUAUCAUCUAAUCAAAAUAAUAUGCAGAAUAUUUGGUUACUAUGUAGAAUAUUAAAAAUUAAAAAUAUAUACACAGGAAAAAGUAUUGAAAGGUAUGCACCAACACAUUUUUGUAGUUACCUUUGAGUACAAAGACUAGGUCUGAAUUUUCCUUUCUAUCUUAUUCUCUCUCUCUCUUUCCUUCAUCAAUACUAAAUUUUCUUUCAAAAUAAACUAAACAUUAAGUUAUUUAAAUAAGUUAACUGGUGCUAAUGCUUAUCUAAAAUAGAAAAAUUGCCAAUUAAUUUGAAACAAGAGGAACAGAUUUUGGAACAUUUUAUUUCUGACAGUUAAAUUUAUGUAUGUUUUAAACAGACUCUUUAGAAACUGUGGAGUGGGUCAGGGUGAUGGUAUAGAGGAACUCUGUGCUUUCUUCUUAAUAUUUCUGUAAACCUAAAUCUCUAAAAAUAUCUAUGAAAAUUUUGAAAGACCCUUUACAUUUUCACUAGUUGGCCAUCUUUUAUUGUCUCAUGAUCACAGGUGAUGUCAGUUAACAUGUUAUGUUAACAUUUGAGUUUUAAUAAGUCAUAAGGGCAGUGCUUAUGAGCAAGAUGAUUCUGUCUGUAGUCUGGAAAGAAGCAAGGACUUGCUAAGAACUCUGAACUCUGUUGUAUCUGGUAUUAUAGAUUUCUUUUCUGGCUGGCUCCUCCUGGCCUCUUGAACCCCAAACUCUAUCAGCCUUCAUCUCUCUCCUAGUCAUAGACCAGGCAGACUAUUCACCUGCUAGAUUCCUGUAUUUGCUGGUUAUAACCUCUGUUCUCAGAGCCUUUGUUGUGUUCAACACUGUAUUAGUCUGUUCUCAUGCUGCUAAUAAAGACAUACCCAAGAAACAAAAGAGGUUUAAUUGACUCACAGUUCAGCAUGGCUGAGGAGGUCUCAGGAAACUUACAAUCAUGGCAGAAGGGGAAGCAAACAUGUCCUUCUUCACAUGACAGCAGGUGAGAGAAGAAUGAAACCAAGAGAAGGGGGAAGUCCCUUAUAAAACCAUCAGAUAUCAUGAGAAAUUACUCACUAUCCACAAGAACAACAUGGGCGAAACCAUCCCAUGAUUCAAUUAUCUCCACCUAGUCCCACCCUUGACACAUGGGGAUUAUUACACUUCAAGGUGAGAUUUGGGUGGGGACACAGAGCCAAACCAUAUUAAAUGCACAUACCCAUUCUGAAAGGCUGCCACAGUGACAUCACAGCCACUCUUUUGGAAUGAUCUUGACCCCAGAGAGCCUUGAUUGAAAUGUAUGUUUGAGUACUAACCACAUUCCCCAAAAGAAAGAUGUGAGGCCCAGGAUGAGUAAAGCAUGUUUGAAAUGAGUACAGGAGCUACAAGGCCAUGAUAUACAGGGUUGAGAUCUCCAUCCCAAUCCUGUAUGUACAUUUUGCUCCGUGGUCCCUAUAGCAGGAGGCUACAGGGAGAAAGAAGAUAAAAGGUAGAAGGAAACCAAGUAAGAUUAGUGGAGGAGGUAGCAUUCUACUUUGUUUGGCCUGAAGUAGAAUGCUAGUUAUCAUUACCUAACCAACCAGUAGUAACUGGCUAGCCAAUUAACUAUAAUUAUUUUUCCUCUGCCUUUCAUCUCUCCAUAAACAAGCAUAAGUGCAUGCCCAGCUCUGUGCUAGGUUCUAGGGUUUUAAUGGCAGGAAUGAGCAUCAUCAGCCCCUUUUCCUCAUGAGGCCUGCAUUCUAACGGGAGAGCAUGGAUUGAAUAACUGCUAUGUAUAAAAAUGUAAAGUUGCUGCUUUGACAAGUGCUACGGAGGAGAGGAAAUAACAUAUCUCCACAUAUUAUGGAGAGGGUUUGAAUCUAAGGAGUCAGGAAAGACAUCCCCAGGGAAAUAACACUUCAGCUGACAUCUGAAGGAUGAGUUGGUGUGAAAUAGGCAGGGGAAGUGAAAGGUUUUCUAGGCAGAUGGAACAGAAUGUGCUAAAACUCUAAUAUUGUUGAUUGGGUGGGGGCCCAGAUCACUAAAAAAACCCUUCAGUUUUUAAUGUUACAACUCCCAAACACCUCACAGGACCCAUACAGGUGCAAGUGAAUGUUCUGCUGGACCUAUAAUAUUUAUUUUUUGUAUGUUUUGUUUCACCAUAAAAUCUGUUUUUACAGCUGUACUUUUUGGUACAGAAUUUGAACACAUACCAUAAAACAAUCACAAGGAAAGAGCACAUACAUUGACUGUUCUGAUUUUGAUUGCUAAGUGGCUACUGUCACCCAGCAAUUAUUUUGUCACCUUGGUAACUAUGAAAUAAGGACCAAAGGUCAGGCUCUCAAAUUUACAUUGCCUUAGUAACAUGAUUCUUGUACAGUUUUUAAUUUUGCUUAAUGUUACAGGUUUGAUUUUAUAUGCAAGCCAAAGUAGAUUGAGCCUUGCCCACAAGUUGUUUUCUUUGUAACUUUUUGAUAAGGUAAAGAGUUUUGUCAAGCACUGUUUUUAAUACUUGAAUUUAGAGAACUUCAAAGACAAUUAGUCCUGGUCAGAACAUUCAUCUGUGAUUAUUUUCACGGUGAAAUUGUAGUAUUAAGUCUCCUGAUGUUAAGGGAAUCAUUUUACUUCAAAGCGUAGUUCCAGAAUAUUCUUUCUGGUCUUGCCACAAGUUCAUAUUCCUUAAAGUUUUAUUCUUAUAAGAGCUGUUCAGUGAAUACAGUAGUGAGAAAAUGGAUGAAAAACAUGUGGUAUUUUUAUUUAAGGGCUCAGUUGAUCAUUUUCUUUUUUAAACCUCAGUCAGCAAUCUUACUUAUUUCUCCAAAAUAAGAGUUUGUACUGUGCAUGUGUUAAAACUGUUGAAAAAUGACAAAUACAUAGUAUGGUAGUGGAAUGGCAUCAGGAAUCACUAUGUGUAUUUAAUUUUUUAAGUUAAAAAAGCCAAACUCUUAUUUUCAUAAGAUAUGGUAACAGAAACCAAAUGGGAAAAAAAUUAUAAUUUUUUUUAUAAGAUAAAACUUUUGGAAUAGAAUAGUAAUGCUCUUGAAUAAUGUUGACCUAAAAGAUACUAUGACAUACUUUGAAGUGUGAUAUUAUUAAUAUUAAAACAGAAUAACAAUUAAUGUCUUUAUGACUGCAGUUUAAGAAAAAUAACAAAUUCUUUUAGGUGAACCAGAGUGUUACUGGCGGUUUGCUAUGCUAGUUUCUCAGCAGGAUUUCAGAGAUUUUCCUUGCUUUCUCCUAAUCUGACAUCUGACUUAUUAUUUGUAUUGUAAGUGUUCUUACAGUAGAAGUAUUCAUUUUCUUUCCAGAUUUCCUUUCAUAUUUAAACUAAAGUUUGUCUAUGUUAUCCUUUCCCCCAGGCUACUUCCCUGGUCUGUAUCCUUGAAGUAAUUUAUAUAUGGUAUAAAUAUUCUUAACUCAUAAGCAAUAUUGAAUUUAUUGUGCUAACUGCUAUAAGUGAUCUAUGACCACUGCUAGUUAUAUGCCUGUCAUUUGUGCAGUUAUUAUUCUACUGAGAUGAUCUGAUGAAAGUUUUCCUGCCACUCUCAAGGUAUCUGCUGUCAUGACUGGAGUUCUUUCCUGUCUACUUUCUAUAUUUUCCUGAUUAAAUUUUUUUGCCUUGUAUAACUACUGGAAAAACUUUGGCUCUUUUCUAAAAAGCAACAUGCUUUCAAAAAUAAAGCACACAUUCUGGUGAAAAACUAUAGAUGUCCCAAGAGAAAAUAUUAAGAACAUGAUUAAUUAUGUCAUAAUUGAUUGAGUACUUUCUACAUGCCAGACACUGAGCUAAGUACUUUACAUGUAUUAUCUAUCUCAUGGAACCCUAUGAAGUCACUGCCUUUUUAUGCCUGUUUUUUCAGAUGAGGAAGCUGAAGCUCAAGUCAGUUAAGAAACUUGUCCAAAGUGUUAUAAAUUGGUGGAGCUGGAAUUCAGACCUCAUAAGGAAAUAUUUUAAGACUGUGAUCAUUUAAGACAAAUAAUGUCACACUUAAUUGCCUUAGGGUACCUCUGAAAGUGAGCUUAUUCAAUAACAGAGCCUUUCCCCUCAACCAUUGUGUCUUACUGUUUCUUCUCCUCUUUUAAACACCUUCAGUGAUCUAGGACUGUUACUUGGAUUGUCCUCAGAGUUUCCAAGAGAUUGGUAUUGAAAGUAAGUAAUGCUGCCUGUAGUUUUGAAAAUGAGGCAUAAUGGGCUCUAUCGUGUCUUCAGGACAGUUACCCAAGUAAUAAGUCUCCCCCUUCCAUUUCCAAUUGCCUAAAGGUCAUUUGCAUUACAGGAUAUUGUUAGACAUUUCUUUAAAUGGCAGUCUAUUGCAUUCAAGUAUUUAAUCAAAAUGGUAUGUGUUGGUGGACAUACAGAUGGGAAGAAUAGACGCUGGGGACUACUAGAGGGGGAGGUUGGAAGGAGAGCAAGGGUUAAAAGACUACUGGGCGCUAUGCUUACUACCUGGGUGAGGGGAUUACUUGUACCCCAAACCUCAGCAUCAUGCAACAUACCCAUGUAACAAACCUGCACAUGUACCCUUUGAAUCUAAAAUAAAAGUUGAAAUAAAAGAUAAAUUAAAAAGAAAA